Long non-coding RNA from Episyrphus balteatus (marmalade hoverfly), 1442 nucleotides. RefSeq lists it as uncharacterized. The transcript is spliced from 4 exons. The record is from RefSeq and is a predicted model, not a curated record. Lineage: Eukaryota; Metazoa; Arthropoda; Insecta; Diptera; Syrphidae.
GACAUCGAGAUUUUUGAAAUCGAAACAAUUUACGUGUUAAAUACAACAAAAACUUUAUCUGUAUAGAUUUUUCAAAAAUCCAGAUAAUUAUCCAGAUUUUACUUUCUCUCGAUAGAAAACAGUACUGCCAAGGUACAUUACAGGUAUUAAAUGUCAGAUUCCAUUGAACGACAGCUGCAGUUGACAGAUAUAUGACACAAAAAUAUAAUAUUUAAAAUUGAAUUCAAUUAGGAAUAGCAAACAACACAAAUCAAUGAUUCACGUUUUUGCAAGAGUGCGAUAUCUUCCGCAAAAUUAAAGAAAAAAACCUGAAACCAGAUGGAAAGAAUUAUUUCACAAAAGAAGAAUUCUGUGUAUUGUGCGCUUGUGUCUUAAUCGUGUCGGUACCUUCAACCCCCAUGCAAAGCCAAAUGUAGUGUAAAAUGCUCUUGGAAUGCCCGCUCGUUUGCGAAAACGUUUAUUCUUUGACGAUAAACAUGAAUAAAUGAUAACAAAGAUCUUGUUGUUAAUCAUUUGCCUCAAUAGAAUGCCCACCACAAAAACAGUCUCAUAACUUUUUAAAAAUAUACACGUCAUGUAUGUGCGCUGCGAAGAAAAGCCGAAAAAUAUUCCCCCAGGAAAUACUUUUCAUCCCAAACAGCAGACAGCAAUAAGCAAGACAAUCCUAACAUCGCAUUAUGCAGCUCAUUCAACACCCAUAUUCUUCAGCUCCCUAAAAUUGACCUCACUUUAUGUAAAUGAUAUCAGAACCAAGACCCGUUGAUGAAAAGCCAUCUUAGAAGAAGAUCACUUCACUGCCUGUGCAAAUGAUGGUAUCGACGUUUAUAAACUUGGACGACAUGUGCAUGUGGAAACAAUAUCAUCUUGAAAGUUGAUGUGGAAGAAAUAUUUGAAAGAACGUUAUAGUAAAUGUUUCAGAGCAUCAUUUAUGUCCCCAAUUUUGAUUGCGGAUGAACUCUGCCUGCAUUGAUGUCGUCCUGUUUCUGUAGGACAUGUCUUCUACAGAUGGCUCUAAAGCCCCCAUCGGGAUCCCGAGAAAAUGAUAUCUGCAUAAAUCUUCUUCGCAAUUACUUUCCCCUCCUAAACAGCUAUGCAGCGGAAGGAAUUAAACCCCACUCAACCAACCCUACAACUGGACAUCCGGGUCUGAACACCUCGAGGACAACCACCUAGACAGCAGACUUUUUAAAUAAAGUUUAUCCAUGUAUUAUAUUUGUUUAUAUUUUAUAACUUUGUCAUUAUUUAACGUUAGGCCCCCUUUGUGCUAACAAAAUUUUGUAUCUAUCAAUGUAUCUUAGAAAUAAGUUAUUUUAAGUCAAUAGGAAGUUCAAUAAAUCAAAAUUAAAAUUAAAUUGCAAUUAAACAAAAAACUUAUUUGCAAGCUAGCAUUCUUGGUCCAGCUGUGGGAGUCCUUACAAAGGCGGGAUAUUAGUGAAAUAAGA